GCUAUACUGCAGUCGAGCGAUGGAUUAAGAGCUUGCUCUUAUGAAGUUAGCGGCGGACGGGUGAGUAACACGUGGGUAACCUGCCCAUAAGACUGGGAUAACUCCGGGAAACCGGGGCUAAUACCGGAUAACAUUUUGAACCGCAUGGUUCGAAAUUGAAAGGCGGCUUCGGCUGUCACUUAUGGAUGGACCCGCGUCGCAUUAGCUAGUUGGUGAGGUAACGGCUCACCAAGGCAACGAUGCGUAGCCGACCUGAGAGGGUGAUCGGCCACACUGGGACUGAGACACGGCCCAGACUCCUACGGGAGGCAGCAGUAGGGAAUCUUCCGCAAUGGACGAAAGUCUGACGGAGCAACGCCGCGUGAGUGAUGAAGGCUUUCGGGUCGUAAAACUCUGUUGUUAGGGAAGAACAAGUGCUAGUUGAAUAAGCUGGCACCUUGACGGUACCUAACCAGAAAGCCACGGCUAACUACGUGCCAGCAGCCGCGGUAAUACGUAGGUGGCAAGCGUUAUCCGGAAUUAUUGGGCGUAAAGCGCGCGCAGGUGGUUUCUUAAGUCUGAUGUGAAAGCCCACGGCUCAACCGUGGAGGGUCAUUGGAAACUGGGAGACUUGAGUGCAGAAGAGGAAAGUGGUAAUUCCAUGUGUAGCGGUGAAAUGCGUAGAGAUAUGGAGGAACACCAGUGGCGAAGGCGACUUUCUGGUCUGUAACUGACACUGAGCGCGAAAGCGUGGGGAGCAAACAGAUUAGAUACCCUGGUAGUCCACGGCGUAAACGAUGAGUGCUAAUGUACAACCA
Molecule: ribosomal RNA, 797 nt
Filed under: Bacillus thuringiensis
Lineage: Bacteria; Bacillati; Bacillota; Bacilli; Caryophanales; Bacillaceae
Description: bacterial SSU rRNA
Rfam family: Bacterial small subunit ribosomal RNA
Source: RNAcentral